Molecule: ribosomal RNA, 1017 nt
Filed under: Triticum aestivum (bread wheat)
Lineage: Eukaryota; Viridiplantae; Streptophyta; Magnoliopsida; Poales; Poaceae
Description: partial small subunit ribosomal RNA
Source: RNAcentral
AUGUCGGCCGGCGAGAUGCGGAAGACGGCGUGCGUCACCGGAGGGAGCGGCUACAUAGCUUCAGCGCUCGUCAAGACGCUGCUGGAGAAGGGGUACGCCGUCAAGACGACGGUCAGAGACCCCGAGGACACGGAGAAGAAUUCCCACCUCAAGGACUUGCAAGCACUUGGCCCCUUGGAGAUCAUCCGUGCCCGGCUGGAUGAAGAAGGCAGCUUCGACGACGCAGUUUCCGGCUGCGACUACGCCUUCCUAGUCGCUGCGCCCAUGGACUUCGGGUCAGCAGACCCUGAGAGGGAUAUGAUCGACGCAGCCGUGCAAGGAACACUCAACGUGAUGAGGUCGUGCGUGAGAGCCGGAACGGUGAAGCGGGUGAUCCUGACGUCGUCGGAUUCUGCGGUCUCCAUGAGGCCGCUGCCGGACGAUGUUCAUGUGCUCGACGAGGGCUCCUGGUCCGACGUCGAGUACCUCAGGGCCAACAAACCAGAAACAUGGGCGUACGCAGUGUCGAAGGUGCUUGCUGAGAAGGCGGCGACCAAAUUCGCGGAGGAGAACGGCAUCGGCCUUGUCACCAUGUUGCCGGUGUUCAUCUUGGGCGCGGCGCCGGUCUCCAAACCCACAUCAAGCGUCCCUGUCACCCUCUCCCUGUUGACCGGCGACGAGGCACAGAUGGAUAUCAUGAUAGGCAUGCAGUCGACCACGGACUGCGUGCCCAUAAGCCACAUCGACGACCUCUGUCAUGCCGAGGUGUUCAUCGCCGAGAAUGAGUCCUCCUCGGGAAGAUACCUGUGCUGCAGUCACAACACCACCGUGUUGCAACUCGCUCGUCUCAUGGCGGAGAAGUACCCACAAUACAAUAUGAAACCUGAACGAUUUGAUGGGUCCCCAGAGAAGCCGAGAGUGUGUGUGUCGUCUGAGAAGCUCAUCGGGGAAGGGUUUGUGUUCAAGUACGAUGAUCUAGGUGAGAUCCUUGAUGACCUUGUCGAGUACGGCAGAACCACCGGGAUUCUGCCCUAUUGA